AAGUCGAGGCAGGCUCAACACAGCAAUUCGAGCGGUAGACAGGGAGCUUGCUCCUGUAUCAGCGGCGGACGGGUGAGUAAUGCCUAGGAAUCUGCCUGGUAGUGGGGGACAACGUUCCGAAAGGGGCGCUAAUACCGCAUACGUCCUACGGGAGAAAGUGGGGGAUCUUCGGACCUCACGCUAUCAGAUGAGCCUAGGUCGGAUUAGCUAGUUGGUGAGGUAAUGGCUCACCAAGGCGACGAUCCGUAACUGGUCUGAGAGGAUGAUCAGUCACACUGGAACUGAGACACGGUCCAGACUCCUACGGGAGGCAGCAGUGGGGAAUAUUGGACAUGGGCGAAAGCCUGUCCAGCCAUGCCGCGUGUGUGAAGAAGUCUUCGGUUGUAAAGCACUUUAAGUUGGGAGGAAGGGCAGUAAGUUAAUACCUUGCUGUUUUGACGUUACCGACAGAUAAGCACCGGCUAACUCUGUGCCAGCAGCCGCGUAAUAA
RNAcentral lists this ribosomal RNA (490 nucleotides) under Pseudomonas putida. RNAcentral describes it as "bacterial SSU rRNA". It matches the Rfam family "Bacterial small subunit ribosomal RNA", at positions 39 to 525 of the family's 1533-position model. Lineage: Bacteria; Pseudomonadati; Pseudomonadota; Gammaproteobacteria; Pseudomonadales; Pseudomonadaceae. The record is from RNAcentral.